RNAcentral lists this transfer RNA (63 nucleotides) under Myrmecophilus sp. RNAcentral describes it as "tRNA-Arg". The record is from RNAcentral. Lineage: Eukaryota; Metazoa; Arthropoda; Insecta; Orthoptera; Myrmecophilidae.
UAAUAGAAAGUAAAACUUACACCCAAUUUCGACUUGGCACAUGGGAGUAUAUCCCUCUAUUAA